RNAcentral lists this ribosomal RNA (328 nucleotides) under uncultured bacterium. Its description in RNAcentral is "bacterial SSU rRNA". It matches the Rfam family "Bacterial small subunit ribosomal RNA", at positions 28 to 357 of the family's 1533-position model. The record is from RNAcentral.
GAUGAACGCUAGCGGCAGGCCUAAUACAUGCAAGUCGGACGGGAUUUGGGAGCUUGCUCCCAAUGAGAGUGGCGCACGGGUGCGUAACACGUAUGUAACCUACCUUAGUCAGGGGGAUAGCCUCUCGAAAGAGAGAUUAAGACCGCAUAAAAUCACAGUAUAGCAUUAUACAAUGAUCAAAUAUUUAUAGGACUAAGAUGGGCAUGCGGAACAUAGCUAGUUGGUGAGGUAACGGCCCACAAGGCUACGAUGUUUAGGGGAUCUGAGAGGAUGACCCCCCANACUGGUACUGAGACACGGACCAGACUCCUACGGGAGGCAGCAGUAA